Molecule: ribosomal RNA, 400 nt
Filed under: uncultured bacterium
Lineage: Bacteria
Description: bacterial SSU rRNA
Rfam family: Bacterial small subunit ribosomal RNA
Source: RNAcentral
UAGGGAAUAUUGGUCAAUGGGGGCAACCCUGAACCAGCCAUGCCGCGUGCAGGAAGACUGCCCUAUGGGUUGUAAACUGCUUUUGUACGGGAAGAAAUGUCACUAUGCGUAGUGAUUUGACGGUACCGUAAGAAUAAGGAUCGGCUAACUUCGUGCCAGCAGCCGCGGUAAGACGAAGGAUCCAAGCGUUGUCCGGAUUUACUGGGUUUAAAGGGAGCGUAGGCGGAUUAAUAAGUCAGUGGUGAAAGCCUUCAGCUUAACUGAAGAACUGCCAUUGAAACUGUUAGUCUCGAGUACGGCUGAGGUGACUGGAAUGUAACAUGUAGCGGUGAAAUGCUUAGAUAUGUUACAGAACACCAAUUGCGAAGGCAGGUCACUAAACCGUAACUGACGCUGAGGC